CUUGCUUAUUGCCUGCUCUUUCCAAGUGACCACUCAUAUGUGCACCAAACAAAGAUUCUUUUUCUUCUUCAAUUUGAGCUUCAGAUCUGAAAUUGCCUUUGUUAUUUUUGUGGACAUAAAUUCAAAUUUAUUCGAACCUCAAUAAACAUAGAGGAAUUAGCUCUACAGUACUACGUACCUCUGGUUUUCUUUCUAAUUUCAAUUAAUUGUCAUGGAGAACGUUCUGAGCAGUGAAAGAACCCCUUCUCGUAGUUUUCCAUCAAUUGAUGAGGAAAUAGUUGGUUUUGAGGAAGAUGCGGAAAGUAUAAUUGGCAUGGAGAAUGUUCUGAGCAGUGAAAGAACCCCUUCUCCUAGUUUUCCAUCAAUUGAUGAGGAAAUAUUUGGUUUUGAGGAAGAUGCGGAAAGUAUAAUUGGCA
Molecule: long non-coding RNA, 416 nt
Organism: Solanum stenotomum
Lineage: Eukaryota; Viridiplantae; Streptophyta; Magnoliopsida; Solanales; Solanaceae
Exons: 2
Source: RefSeq, a predicted model, not a curated record